CACGUAGGCGGCUUUGUAAGUUAGAGGUGAAAGCCUGGAGCUCAACUCCAGAAUUGCCUUUAAGACUGCAUCGCUUGAAUCCAGGAGAGGUGAGUGGAAUUCCGAGUGUAGAGGUGAAAUUCGUAGAUAUUCGGAAGAACACCAGUGGCGAAGGCGGCUCACUGGACUGGUAUUGACGCUGAGGUGCGAAAGCGUGGGGAGCAAACA
RNAcentral lists this ribosomal RNA (207 nucleotides) under uncultured bacterium. Its description in RNAcentral is "partial 16S ribosomal RNA". It matches the Rfam family "Bacterial small subunit ribosomal RNA", at positions 568 to 774 of the family's 1533-position model. The record is from RNAcentral.